Fukomys damarensis (Damara mole-rat) is the source of this 675-nucleotide long non-coding RNA. RefSeq lists it as uncharacterized. The record is from RefSeq and is a predicted model, not a curated record. NCBI's taxonomy places the organism in Eukaryota, Metazoa, Chordata, Mammalia, Rodentia, Bathyergidae. The transcript has 4 exons.
UUCAGAGAAUGCUGGGUGGAGGGACAUUGUGGAGAUCCAAAAUAUGGGGAUUUACCAGCACUAGGGGUGAUCAGGCUCUAGAAAAAUGGAGGGUAAAGACCCUGCAGUUAACCUACAGGAGCUUAUCCUCCUCUUCCACAAAGACUUAAGUUCAAGGACUAUCUGGCUUCCUAAAAUCACACUUCUCCCUCAGCUGUGAAAUGGACCUGAAAGAAUGACUUAUUCAAGACAUCAAAGAAGUUGUAACUGUUAAGAAAUGUGGGAAACAUUACUCACACCGAGGUUUGAUUCAGAAAGGAAAUCAGCUGAAAUUACAGCUCUCACGAGAAACCUUGGUUACUUAGAAGAAGACCGCAUAAUGGUCAAAAGAACACCACCAGACUGACGGAACAUUAGCGUCCCUUUAUCCUCAGACAGCUUUUCGAGAUGGAUGUUAAUUGUUCCGUUUUUAGGGCCAGUGAAACUGAGAUGCGGAGAAUAAAGUCACUUGCUCACCAUCACGUAUCUGGGAAUCAAACUCAUGACCUUACGCUUGCCAGGCAGGCAGGCAUGGUGCCACUGAGCUAUAUCUCCGGCCCUAAAACACUACUGCUGCAAGAACAGUGGAUGACUGCAUUAGAGCAGACGUGUGAGGAAUAUCCGAAAUGAUACCCUAGUACCUGGAAAAACGGAACC